GGCCGCGUGGCCCAAUGGCAAGGCGUCUGACUACGAAUCAGGAGACUCUGGGUUCGAGCCCCAGCGUGGUCA
Molecule: transfer RNA, 72 nt
Filed under: Rhodotorula toruloides
Lineage: Eukaryota; Fungi; Basidiomycota; Microbotryomycetes; Sporidiobolales; Sporidiobolaceae
Also listed under: 2 other names
Description: tRNA-Arg
Rfam family: tRNA
About the family: Transfer RNA (tRNA) molecules are approximately 80 nucleotides in length.
Source: RNAcentral